This 251-nucleotide ribosomal RNA is filed under the name uncultured bacterium. Its description in RNAcentral is "partial 16S ribosomal RNA". It matches the Rfam family "Bacterial small subunit ribosomal RNA", at positions 524 to 776 of the family's 1533-position model. The record is from RNAcentral.
UACGAAGGGGCUAGCGUUGCUCGGAAUUACUGGGCGUAAAGCGCACGUAGGCGGAUCUUUAAGUCAGGGUGAAAUCCCAAGGCUCAACCUUGGAAGCUGCCUUUGAUACUGGGAUCUCGAGUCCGGAAGAGGUGAGUGGAACUGCGAGUGUAGAGGUGAAAUUCGUAGAUAUUCGCAAGAACACCAGUGGCGAAGGCGGCUCACUGGUCCGGUACUGACGCGUGAGGUGCGAAAGCGUGGGAGCAAACAGG